This 357-nucleotide ribosomal RNA is filed under the name uncultured bacterium. RNAcentral's name for it is "bacterial SSU rRNA". It matches the Rfam family "Bacterial small subunit ribosomal RNA", at positions 8 to 351 of the family's 1533-position model. The record is from RNAcentral.
AGAGUUUGAUCCUGGCUCAGGAUGAACGCUAGCUACAGGCUCAACACAUGCAAGUCGAGGGGAAACGGACAUCGAAAGCUUGCUUUUGAUGGGCGUCGACCGGCGCACGGGUGAGUAACGCGUAUCCAACCUGCCCACCACUUGGGGAUAACCUUGCGAAAGUAAGACUAAUACCCAAUGAUAUCUCUAGAAGACAUCUGAAAGAGAUUAAAGAUUUAUCGGUGAUGGAUGGGGAUGCGUCUGAUUAGCUUGUUGGCGGGGUAACGGCCGACCAAGGCGACGGAUCAGUAGGGGUUCUGAGAGGAAGGUCCCCCACAUUGGAACUGAGACACGGUCCAAACUCCUACCGGGAGGCCA